This is a non-coding RNA of Pelmatolapia mariae (spotted tilapia), 357 nucleotides long. NCBI's taxonomy places the organism in Eukaryota, Metazoa, Chordata, Actinopteri, Cichliformes, Cichlidae. The record is from the annotation of a RefSeq genome assembly.
AUGUUCUCUGUGGCUCUGCUGCUCCUCCUGGCUGCUGGAUCCUGUGUGAAGUGUGAACAGCUGACACAGCCAGCCUCUGUGAUUGUGCAGCCAGGUCAGAGUCUGACAAUCACCUGUCAGGUCUCUUAUUCUCUGGGCAGCUAUCGGACAGCUUGGAUCAGACAGCCUGCAGGGAAAGGACUGGAGUGGAUUGGAAGUGCAUGUGGUGGAUACAAAACAUACUACAAAGAUUCCCUAAAGAACAAGUUCACCAUCAACUUGGACACUUCAAGCAAGACAGUGACUCUAAAUGGAGAAAAUAUGCAGUCUAUUACUGUGCCAGAGGGUCACAGUAACAGAAACCAUCAGCAGACCUGA